AUUGGAUUAAAGACAAUGCUUCUGAAAUCCCUUCCUUUUUGUUUUCACAAGCCAAAGGUGAGGAAGAUUCCAUUUGUUUUGUACAUAUGACUCUUACCUUGAUUAGCGUGUCUUGUGGUUUGUUUAUACUUUUUGAACAUCUAUUAUCAGUUCUACCAUUAAAAGCAAGUAAGAAAUUGCUGUGUAUGCUUAAAAGAUCCUGGCAAAGCAUCUAGCUUUGUUGUUGUGCAUGGAUGAAAAGAGUGCCAGCAGAGAGUUAAGAGCAUUCUGAAACAAAAGUAGAUACCUCUAAUUGUUCAUCUACCCAGGAUGUCUUUGUGCACAGGGAAUAUCAUUGUCUUUCACUCUUGGUGCACGACUUUAUCCCACUAUUGUUUACACUAGUUUGAUUUCACUAAUUUCAGAGGAGUUACUACGCUCUUAUGCAGAAUAAUUUGUGAUGUAGUUCUACAGACAGUAUUUAGAUAUGGUUUCAGUUAUUUCAGAAAUAGGAAAACAGAAGGAUUUCUUAAAUUCUGUUUGACGUGAGGUAUUAGCAGAGAGCAAGAUAAGUUCUGUCAUUGACUAGAUUGUCUGUACAAAAGCUUUUUUGUAGCUGCAGUAGUACCCAGCUGUGACACACCUUCUAUGUAUCUUAUUCUGUAGUCCAUUCAUUUAAGUCAAAUAGUGUUCAGAUUUCUUUAAAAUUCCCAUGGCUAAUUUAAUUUUAUAAACCAGUUAUACUCAAACAUUUUUAUUAAGGAAUGUGCAGAGCAAGCUGUUUUUCCUGGAAUUGAAAACUAACAAGAAAUUUAUUCUGCAAUUGUAGGAAAAACAGUCCAACAAAUAAAGGACAGCAUAUUCCACGUCAUUGUGUCUUGCCUCUUAUCCGUAGAAGCGGCAUCUUAUAUACAGGUCAUCAAAAGCAGAAAAUGGAGAAGAAAAGGAUCUACUAAAGUAAAUCAAUCUUCCAGAAGAGCACGUCACAUUAGCUGUGCAAGAAAAAUGGAUAUGCUGGAGUCCAAGAGUAGUCGGAAUUACCAGGCAGUUGCAUGUGAACUCUGCAGCAUAACUAAGAAGCUGCUUUUCAUUAGACUUAGUUUCAGAGCAGAAUAAAAUAAUGCAGUUUAUACUGCUCCUACCUUUGCUAUUUGAGUUGUUCAGAUCAGAAAAUUUUAUUUAGUAAAAGGUGUG
Molecule: long non-coding RNA, 1173 nt
Filed under: Numida meleagris (helmeted guineafowl)
Lineage: Eukaryota; Metazoa; Chordata; Aves; Galliformes; Numididae
Description: lncRNA (ENSNMEG00000020461.1)
Source: RNAcentral